UAGAUAGAUAGACUAUCUUCUCUACCUUCUUACAUUUUUCUACUUUCUACUUUCACUCUUUCCAACUCUUUUGUAAAGAAAAGCUAUUAAAAAGUCAUUUUGACUUUUAGCAAUACUACUUUAAAUCAGCAGCUAUCAUGUUAUUUAUAAUUUUCAUAUAUUUUAGUCAAACCAUUAAAAUUUAAUUCCUACAGUGAGGACACAUAGGCUAGUCACAAACAUAUACAUACAUACAUACAUAUAUAGAAAGAAAGAAAGAAAGAAAGAAAGAAAGAAAGAAAGAAAGAAAGAAAGAAAGAAAGAAAGGAAGGAAGGAAGGAGAGAAAA
This 327-nucleotide long non-coding RNA is filed under the name Monodelphis domestica (gray short-tailed opossum). RNAcentral describes it as "lncRNA (ENSMODG00000037553.1)". Lineage: Eukaryota; Metazoa; Chordata; Mammalia; Didelphimorphia; Didelphidae. The record is from RNAcentral.